CCUCCAGUACUGACCCCUGAGGUACCCCACUAGUGACUGUGACUCCUCCAGUACUGACCCCCUGAGGUACUCCACUAGUGACAGUGACCCCUCCAGUACUGACCCCUGAGGCACUCCACUAGUGACUGUGACUCCUCCAGUACUGACUCCUGAGAUACUCCACUAGUGACAGUGACCCCUCCAGUACUGACCCCUGAGAUACUCCACUAGUGACAGUGACUCCUCCAGUACUGACCCCUGAGGUACCCCACUAGUGACAGUGACCCCUCCAGUACUGACCCCUGAGGUACUCCACUAGUGACAGUGACCCCUCCAGUACUGACCCCUGAAGUACCCCACUAGUGACAGUGACCCCUCCAGUACUGACCCCUGAGGUACUCCAC
Molecule: long non-coding RNA, 383 nt
Organism: Bufo bufo (common toad)
Lineage: Eukaryota; Metazoa; Chordata; Amphibia; Anura; Bufonidae
Exons: 3
Source: RefSeq, a predicted model, not a curated record